Long non-coding RNA from Sander lucioperca (pikeperch), 291 nucleotides. RefSeq lists it as uncharacterized. The record is from RefSeq and is a predicted model, not a curated record. The transcript is spliced from 3 exons. NCBI's taxonomy places the organism in Eukaryota, Metazoa, Chordata, Actinopteri, Perciformes, Percidae.
UCUCGAGUCGUUUAUUUAUUUAUUUUCAACCGUCACCGGUCUGUGUCUACAUGGGGUUAAUACUAUACCACCAGGGGAAAGUGCGAUUAAUUUUUAUUAAGGUGAUGACUUCUAACUGCAGCCCUAAAAGACAUGGAACCUGGAUUACCCAUUGAAGGCACUCUGCAAAACGUUGAUGGAGGACCUGCUCUGGCAACAAGUGGAAAUGCCAGAGAAAAAAUGCACAGGUGUUUUAGAGCGAUGGAGACUCGUGUACAAAAUCGAGAGCAGGCGUCUGAGCACACAAUUAAA